AGAGUUUGAUCAUGGCUCAGAUUGAACGCUGGCGGCAUGCCUUACACAUGCAAGUCGAGCGGCAGCGCGGGGGCAACCCUGGCGGCGAGCGGCGAACGGGUGAGUAAUACAUCGGAACGUGUCCAGUUGUGGGGGAUAACCAGUCGAAAGACUGGCUAAUACCGCAUACGAUCUACGGAUGAAAGCGGGGGAUCGCAAGACCUCGCGCUAUUGGAGCGGCCGAUGUCCGAUUAGCUGGUUGGCGGGGUAACGGCCCACCAAGGCGACGAUCGGUAGCUGGUCUGAGAGGAUGAUCAGCCACACUGGAACUGAGACACGGUCCAGACUCCUACGGGAGGCAGCAGUGGGGAAUUUUGGACAAUGGGGGCAACCCUGAUCCAGCCAUGCCGCGUGCGGGAAGAAGGCCUUCGGGUUGUAAACCGCUUUUGGCCGGGAAGAAAAGGCUGAGGUUAAUACCUUCGGUUUUUGACGGUACCGGCAGAAUAAGCACCGGCUAACUACGUGCCAGCAGCCGCGGUAAUACGUAGGGUGCGAGCGUUAAUCGGAAUUACUGGGCGUAAAGCGUGCGUAGGCGGUUCGUUGUGUCUGUGGUGAAAGCCCCGGGCUUAACCUGGGAAUGGCCAUGGAAACUGGCGAGCUGGAGUGUGGCAGAGGAGGGUGGAAUUCCGCGUAGCAGUGAAAUGCGUAGAGAUGCGGAGGAACACCGAUGGCGAAGGCAGCCCUCUGGGCUAACACUGACGCUGAGGCACGAAAGCGUGGGGAGCAAACAGGAUUAGAUACCCUAGUAGUCC
This 791-nucleotide ribosomal RNA is filed under the name uncultured bacterium. Its description in RNAcentral is "bacterial SSU rRNA". It matches the Rfam family "Bacterial small subunit ribosomal RNA", at positions 8 to 796 of the family's 1533-position model. The record is from RNAcentral.